GACGUAGGAGGCGAGCGUUGUCCGGAUUCAUUGGGCGUAAAGGGCGCGUAGGUGGCCCGGUCAGUUCGUGGUGAAAGCGCGGGGCUCAACCCUGCGUCGGCCAUGAAUACUGCCGCGGCUGGAGCACUGUAGAGGCAGGCGGAAUUCCGGGUGUAGCGGUGGAAUGCGUAGAGAUCCGGAAGAACACCGGUGGCGAAGGCGGCCGUGCUGGGCAGU
Molecule: ribosomal RNA, 216 nt
Filed under: uncultured bacterium
Lineage: Bacteria
Description: partial 16S ribosomal RNA
Rfam family: Bacterial small subunit ribosomal RNA
Source: RNAcentral